UGUUAUUACAGAGAGGUUAUGGAGAGGUGAUGUAUGUGUGAAAGAGUUAACCUAAAAUCUGUUCAAGUUAUUGCGGUUGUACAGCAGUACAGAUGGUCCUCAGCUCUUUAUCGCUGCUCCUCACACGCUACGGCAGCGCUGCUUGCAUGCAGCCCGGAGAAAACAUUACAAAAGAAGAAAUAAAGUCACAGGUUUGGAACAUCAAAUAAAGGAAGUAACAUUGGAGCCAACGGAUCUCCAGAUGCAGAUUACAGAAAGAACAGGAACAUUGGAGUGCAAGUAGACUGGAAAAGAGGAAUGGGAUCAGGACAUGACCCGGGCCAGACUCAAACCAGGGUCUUUGUGAGUCUUG
Molecule: long non-coding RNA, 352 nt
Organism: Pimephales promelas (fathead minnow)
Lineage: Eukaryota; Metazoa; Chordata; Actinopteri; Cypriniformes; Leuciscidae
Source: RefSeq, a predicted model, not a curated record